Molecule: ribosomal RNA, 2522 nt
Filed under: anaerobic digester metagenome
Description: bacterial LSU rRNA
Rfam family: Bacterial large subunit ribosomal RNA
Source: RNAcentral
AGAGCGCACGGCGGAUGCCUUGGCGCCAGAUGCCGAUGAAGGACGUGGCAAGCUGCGAUAAGCUACGGUUAGCUGCAAGCAAGCGUUGACCCGUAGAUUUCCGAAUGGGGAAACCCACCAGAGUGAUCUGGUACUGCUGCAUGAACACAUAGUGCAGUAGAGGGAACCCGGUGAACUGAAACAUCUAAGUAACCGGAGGAAGAGAAAACAAACGUGAUUUCCUAAGUAGCGGCGAGCGAACGGGAAAGAGUCCAAACCAUAUUAGUGUCAAGCGGUACGGCGUUGCUAAUAUGGGGUUGUGGGAGUUACCAGUUGCAGCGUACUCUGCAGCAGGGGAAGUGAAGGCUAGCGGAACUGCCUGGAAAGGCAGGCCAUAGAGAGUGACAGCCUCGUACGUGAAAGCCGUAAGCACCCCGGUAACCACCCGAGUACUAUGGGACACGUGCAAUCCCAUAGGAAGCUGGGAAGACCACUUUCCAAGACUAAAUACACGCUGGCGACCGAUAGUGAAAUAGUACCGUGAGGGAAAGGUGAAAAGCACCCCGGGAGGGGAGUGAAAUAGUACCUGAAACCGUGUGCUUACAAACAGUUGGAGGGCGUUAAAGCCUGACAGCGUACUUUUUGUAGAACGGACCGGCGAGUUUCUGUAUGCAGCGAGGUUAAGGUGUUAAGCACCAGAGCCGUAGCGAAAGCGAGUCUGAAUAGGGCGGUAAGUUGCAUAUAGAAGACCCGAAACCGGGUGAUCUACCCAUGGCCAGGGUGAAGCGCGAGUAAAACCGCGUGGAGGCCCGAACCUUUUAGCGUUGAAAAGCUAUAGGAUGAGCUGUGGGUAGGAGUGAAAAGCUAAUCGAACUCGGAUAUAGCUGGUUCUCCCCGAAAUAGCUUUAGGGCUAGCCUCAAAGUAAGAGUAUCGGAGGUAGAGCACUGAUCGGGCUAGGGGCCUAACGGUUACCGAACCCUUUCAAACUCCGAAUGCCGAUAUGAGAUCUUUGGGAGUCAGUCUGCGUGGGAUAAGCCGCGCAGACAAGAGGGAAACAGCCCAGACCGUCGGCUAAGGUCCCCAAGUUCAGACUAAGUGGUAAAGGAUGUGGAAUUGCACAGACAACCAGGAUGUUGGCUUAGAAGCAGCCAUACAUUUAAAGAGUGCGUAAUAGCUCACUGGUCGAGUGGUUCUGCGCCGAAAAUGUAACGGGGCUCAAGUCUGACACCGAAGCCACGGAACACGGAUGUGUUGGUAGGGGAGCGUUGUCUGCGCGCAGAAGCUGUACCGUAAGGAGCAGUGGAGUGCAGACAAGUGAGAAUGCCGGUAUGAGUAGCGAAAAGAAGGGUGAGAAUCCCUUCCGCCGAAAGCCUAAGGUUUCCUGAGGAAGGAUCGUCCGCUCAGGGUAAGUCGGGACCUAAGGCGAGGCCGAAAGGCGUAGUCGAUGGACAACAGGUUGAUAUUCCUGUACCAUUCUUAUGCGUUUGAGUGAAGUGGUGACGCAGGAGGAUAGGCUGAGCGCGGUUUGGUAGUCCGCGUCCAAGGAGUUAGGGAGUGAGGCAGGCAAAUCCGUCUCACACAAUCCUGAGCUCUGAUGGGGAGGCGUAAGCCGAAGCAGCUGAUUCCAUGCUGCCGAGAAAAGCCGCUAGCGAGUAUAAGAAUGCCCGUACUAAAACCGCCACAGGUAGGCGAGGAGAGAAUCCUAAGGCGCGCGAGAGAACCCUUGUUAAGGAACUCGGCAAAAUGACUCCGUAACUUCGGGAGAAGGAGUGCCCCGUUAGGGUGAAUAGCCCGAGGGGGCCGCAGAGAAUUGGCCCAAGCGACUGUUUACCAAAAACACAGGUCUCUGCUAAGUGGGAACACGAAGUAUAGGGGCUGACACCUGCCCAAUGCCGGAAGGUUAAGGGGAUGCGUUAGCGCAAGCGAAGCGUUGAACCGAAGCCCCGGUCAAUGGCGGCCGUAACUAUAACGGUCCUAAGGUAGCGAAAUUCCUUGUCGGGUAAGUUCCGACCCGCACGAAAGGUGUAACGACUUGGGCGCUGUCUCAACAGGGGACUCGGCGAAAUUGUAGUGCCUGUGAAGAUGCAGGCUACCCGCGACUAGACGGAAAGACCCCAUGGAGCUUUACUGUAGCUUGUUAUUGGGCUUUGCUGCCAGAUGUACAGGAUAGGUGGGAGGCUGAGAAGUAUGGACGCCAGUUCGUACGGAGCCGUCGGUGGGAUACCACUCUUUUGGUAGCGAGGUUCUAACUUACAGCCGUGAAUCCGGCGUGAGGACAGUGACAGGUGGGCAGUUUGACUGGGGCGGUCGCCUCCUAAAAGGUAACGGAGGCGCCCAAAGGAGUUUGACUGGGGCGGUCGCCUCCUAAAAGGUAACGGAGGCGCCCAAAGGUUUCCUCAGCACGGUCGGAAAUCGUGCAUUGAGUGUAAAGGCAGAAGGAAGCUUAACUGCGAGACCAACAAGUCGAGCAGAGACGAAAGUCGGGCUUAGUGAUCCGGUGGCUCUGCGUGGGAGGGCCAUCGCUCAACGGAUAAAAGCUACC